AGAACGAACGCUGGCGGCAGGCUUAACACAUGCAAGUCGAACGCCCCGCAAGGGGAGUGGCAGACGGGUGAGUAACGCGUGGGAAUCUACCCAGAACUUCGGAACAACUGAGGGAAACUUCAGCUAAUACCGGAUACGCCCUACGGGGGAAAGAUUUAUCGGUUUUGGAUGAGCCCGCGUAAGAUUAGCUAGUUGGUGAGGUAAUGGCUCACCAAGGCGACGAUCUUUAGCUGGUCUGAGAGGAUGAUCAGCCACACUGGGACUGAGACACGGCCCAGACUCCUACGGGAGGCAGCAGUGGGGAAUAUUGGACAAUGGGCGCAAGCCUGAUCCAGCCAUGCCGCGUGAGUGAUGAAGGCCUUAGGGUUGUAAAGCUCUUUCAGUAGGGAAGAUAAUGACGGUACCUACAGAAGAAGCCCCGGCUAACUUCGUGCCAGCAGCCGC
This 444-nucleotide ribosomal RNA is filed under the name uncultured bacterium. RNAcentral's name for it is "SSU rRNA". It matches the Rfam family "Bacterial small subunit ribosomal RNA", at positions 26 to 518 of the family's 1533-position model. The record is from RNAcentral.